UACGUAGGUGGCAAGCGUUGUCCGGAUUUACUGGGCGUAAAGGGCUUGCAGGCGGUUUGUUAAGUCUGGUGUGAAAUCUCCCGGCUCAACUGGGAGGGGUCAUCGGAUACUGGCGGACUUGAGGUAGGUAGAGGAAGGCAGAAUUCCUGGUGUAGCGGUGAAAUGCGUAGAUAUCAGGAGGAAUACCAGUGGCGAAGGCGGCUUUCUGGGCCUAUCCUGACGCUGAGGUGCGAAAGCGUGGGGAGCAAACCGG
This 253-nucleotide ribosomal RNA is filed under the name uncultured bacterium. Its description in RNAcentral is "partial 16S ribosomal RNA". It matches the Rfam family "Bacterial small subunit ribosomal RNA", at positions 524 to 776 of the family's 1533-position model. The record is from RNAcentral.